UGCGCCUUGCCAGCCCGCUCAGAAACUUAAAGGAAUUGACGGGGCCCGCACAAGCGGUGGAGCAUGUGGUUUAAUUCGAUGAUACGCGAGGAACCUUACCUGGGCUCAAAUGUAUGUUGACGUAUUCUGAAAGGGAUACUUCUUCGGACAAUAUACAAGGUGCUGCAUGGUUGUCGUCAGCUCGUGCCGUGAGGUGUCGGGUUAAGUCCCAUAACGAGCGCAACCCCUAUCAUUAGUUGCCAUCAGGUCAAGCUGGGGACUCUAAUGAAACUGCCUACGCAAGUAGUGAGGAAGGUGGGGAUGACGUCAAAUCAGCACGGCCCUUACGUCCAGGGCUACACACGUGCUACAAUGGUCGGUACAAAGGGUUGCCAAGCCGCGAGGUGGAGCUAAUCCCAUAAAACCGAUCGUAGUCCGGAUCGCAGUCUGCAACUCGACUGCGUGAAGUCGGAAUCGCUAGUAAUCGUGAAUCAGAAUGUCACGGUGAAUACGUUCCCGGGCCUU
Molecule: ribosomal RNA, 504 nt
Filed under: uncultured Sphingobacteriales bacterium
Lineage: Bacteria; Pseudomonadati; Bacteroidota; Sphingobacteriia; Sphingobacteriales
Description: bacterial SSU rRNA
Rfam family: Bacterial small subunit ribosomal RNA
Source: RNAcentral